GCCUAUGUACCACUUCCUCUCACCUCCCGCAUCGGCAUAAAAACUCAUUUUCCUUCUAAUGCCUACCACCAGCCGACCUCAUCCCCGCUCGGUAGGCACGACAUAACAGGUAACCUAAGGUUAACCCUUUAGAGCAGAGGAGGUUGAGACCUAAAAACUUGUUCACUUCAUUCCACAUAAUUAAUAUAACCAUCUCAAACUUAAUUGGCAAAGCAGAAGGGGACCGACCCCCGCUUCCCUACGCACCACCCAUGCCAGGAAAUCACUAAAGCUCUCAAAAACAAAUAGGAUAGGGAGUCACCCUUACGGAGGCACAUAAACACAGAAAAUGACAGCCAAAGGUACAACCCAGGGGAAGGUGACCAUCUGGGUGCAAUGGUAGCAGCUGGAAAGCCGAUUCC
This is a non-coding RNA of Pelobates cultripes (western spadefoot toad), 401 nucleotides long. Lineage: Eukaryota; Metazoa; Chordata; Amphibia; Anura; Pelobatidae. The record is from the annotation of a GenBank genome assembly.